CCUACGGGAGGCAGCAGUGGGGAAUCUUGCGCAAUGGGCGAAAGCCUGACGCAGCCAUGCCGCGUGAAUGAUGAAGGUCUUAGGAUUGUAAAAUUCUUUCACCGGGGACGAUAAUGACGGUACCCGGAGAAGAAGCCCCGGCUAACUUCGUGCCAGCAGCCGCGGUAAUACGAAGGGGGCUAGCGUUGCUCGGAAUUACUGGGCGUAAAGGGAGCGUAGGCGGAUAGUUUAGUCAGAGGUGAAAGCCCAGGGCUCAACCUUGGAAUUGCCUUUGAUACUGGCUAUCUUGAGUGUGGGAGAGGUUAGCGGAACUCCGAGUGUAGAGGUGAAAUUCGUAGAUAUUCGGAAGAACACCAGUGGCGAAGGCGGCUAACUGGCCCAUUACUGACGCUGAGGCUCGAAAGCGUGGGGAGCAAACAGGAUUAGAUACCCUGGUAGUCCACGCCGUAAACGAUGAGUGCUAGUUGUCGGCAUGCAUGCAUGUCGGUGACGCAGCUAACGCAUUAAGCACUCCGCCUGGGGAGUACGGUCGCAAGAUUAAAACUUAAAGGAAUUGACGG
RNAcentral lists this ribosomal RNA (560 nucleotides) under uncultured bacterium. RNAcentral describes it as "bacterial SSU rRNA". It matches the Rfam family "Bacterial small subunit ribosomal RNA", at positions 338 to 916 of the family's 1533-position model. The record is from RNAcentral.